RNAcentral lists this ribosomal RNA (798 nucleotides) under Triticum aestivum (bread wheat). Its description in RNAcentral is "partial small subunit ribosomal RNA". The record is from RNAcentral. Lineage: Eukaryota; Viridiplantae; Streptophyta; Magnoliopsida; Poales; Poaceae.
AUGACCUUCAGCGUCUCGCCGGCGAUGGCGGGGGGGCAGGGGCACGAGUACAUGAUCCGCUUCCACAGCCACUUCGACGACCCGUCGCCGAGCACCGCCACCGCCGAGCCGCCGCCGUUUGCCGGAAGGGCGAUCUCGCCGGAGCAGGAGCACGGCGCCAUGGUCGCCGCGCUGCUGCACGUCAUCUCCGGGUACACCACGCCGCCGCCGGACUUCUUCUUCCCGGCCGCCGCGAGCAAGGAGGUGUGCCCGGUGUGCAGGGUCGACGGCUGCCUCGGCUGCGAGUUCUUCGGCGCGGCGGAGGCCACCGGGGCGACCGCAGCGGCAUUGGACGCGCCGAAGUCGGCACCGGCGGCGGUGACCGCGGGCGGGCCGCAGCGGAGGCGGAGGAAUAAGAAGAACAAGUACCGGGGCGUCAGGCAGCGGCCGUGGGGCAAGUGGGCGGCGGAGAUCCGCGACCCGCGCCGCGCCGUGCGGGUGUGGCUCGGGACCUUCGACACCGCCGAGGACGCCGCCAGGGCCUACGACCGCGCCGCCGUCGAGUUCCGCGGCCCGCGCGCCAAGCUCAACUUCCCCUUCCCCGAGCAGCAGCAGCAGCAGCAGCUGGGCGAUGGCAAUGCCGCCCCGGCCAAGUCCGACACGUGCUCGCCCUCGCCCAGCAGCGCGGAAGUCGAUGUCCGGGUCCCGCGGAACGGCGGGCAGGAAACAGGGGAUCAGCUCUGGGACGGCCUGCAGGACCUGAUGAAGCUAGACGAGAGCGAGCUCUGGUUCCCGCCAUCUGGAAAUUCUUGGGACUGA